CCGAACUAUGGCUGAGAGAAAAUAAAAACAUCACUCCUUAUGAGGGCUUAGAUGCUCCCCAUCAUAAUUUUGACAAUUUGAUGGCAGUGGCAGUAGAAGGUUACAAAGCCAAGCGAACCCAUGAUGACUGUGAUGGGGCUGGAAGCUCUAAUUACGAACCUCACCCAAAAAGGAUUGAAAGGCUCACAGAAUUUAUGGCCCAGGGUAACUCUAACUGGGAGGAGUCAAGUGAGUACAAGGAAUGUGCUGAAGAGCUAGGUGAUUGGCAAGAAUCUAGUGAAAGUGACCUUGAAGGUUAAUCAACUUUUUUUCUCUGGUAACUAACAGUUCAAAAAACAAAGAGAAGCAUUGAUAGCAGCAGGAUAAGCAAGUGUAGAAAGAGUGUCCCAAUCGGCAACCAAUCCUGUUGGACUCAAGCUGCAAGGGUAGGAGAAAUAAAUACAGGGGAUCCAAGCUUCUUCUGAAAAAAUAGAGAAGCUAACAGUUAAGAACUAAAGGAAAACCUCAACAGUUGCAAAAUAAGCAAAGUCCAGACUUUUAUAGAGUCUUCCAACUGGCAACCAAUCCUGCAGGAGGAGAGCUGCAAGGGUAAAAGAACGAAAUGGAGGGGAUUCAUUCGGUUUGAUUGUAAAAAUAGAGAUGGGUCCAUUGCCUGGUUGUUUGAGCUGGACUAUAGGGGCUGGAAUAGAAGUGACAGAGAGGUGGCAGAUCGAGCUGAUGAAGGGCAUUCAGAUGUUUAGGAAUUAGGAACCAGUUGACAGAUGUUUUGGGUUCGGAGAGGAGGGCACGUCUUCUGACAACCAUUGCUCCUAACCGCUUUACGAACUUUACCUUUGAUAGCACACAAUGGACUCCUAAUCCUGUACAUUUUUAUUCUAGUGCUGUUUUUAUUCCUUUGUGUCAAUGUAUUGUGGCCCAAAUCCACUACCAAAGUCUUAAAUAUUUUUUAAGAUUAAAAUAGAUUCUACAGAAUUUUAAGAUUACAUUUUAUGUUGUUUGUGUGUGUUUGGACAACACAAUUGAUUAAUUGUAAUGAUCGUGUCAACUUUAGUAGUAUAAUAUAGUGAGGUUUGUCGUGUAGUAUCAAAUUGCAACUUAUAUUC
Quercus robur (English oak) is the source of this 1103-nucleotide long non-coding RNA. RefSeq lists it as uncharacterized. Lineage: Eukaryota; Viridiplantae; Streptophyta; Magnoliopsida; Fagales; Fagaceae. The transcript has 3 exons. The record is from RefSeq and is a predicted model, not a curated record.